CUCCUACGUGGCUAGUUUUCAACUACCAUCCAGAAGCCACUGAACAGGGGACUGGGAGGAGGUGUGUUCAGUGGGCUCUUGCGAGUGUGUGCGACCGGUUCUGAGCCUGGGCUGGCUGGCUUCAGCACACCCGUGUGCCCAGUCUCCUUGAAGUCACGCCCUCUGAAAUGCCAUCUUCCCAGCCCCAGUGCCUUUCCUAAACCUUUGGGCAGAAUGAGAACUUUUCAAGUGACCACUUGUCACAAGCCCUGUUGCAGCCUGCAUUGAGAAUGUUCAAUAAAGGUUUGCUGAACGGGAUUGAAUGGAACGGCAGGCCAGAGGGAGUUUUAGAUCUGCCUUCCCAAUAAAGACAAUUACC
Molecule: long non-coding RNA, 358 nt
Filed under: Mustela putorius furo (domestic ferret)
Lineage: Eukaryota; Metazoa; Chordata; Mammalia; Carnivora; Mustelidae
Description: lncRNA (ENSMPUG00000030301.1)
Source: RNAcentral